GACGAACGCUGGCGGCGUGCCUAAUACAUGCAAGUCGAACGAACUCUGGUAUUGAUUGGUGCUUACAUCAUGAUUUACAUUUGAGUGAGUGGCGAACUGGUGAGUAACACGUGGGAAACCUGCCCAGAAGCGGGGGAUAACACCUGGAAACAGAUGCUAAUACCGCAUAACAACUUGGACCGCAUGGUCCGAGUUUGAAAGAUGGCUUCGGCUAUCACUUUUGGAUGGUCCCGCGGCGUAUUAGCUAGAUGGUGGGGUAACGGCUCACCAUGGCAAUGAUACGUAGCCGACCUGAGAGGGUAAUCGGCCACAUUGGGACUGAGACACGGCCCAAACUCCUACGGGAGGCAGCAGUAGGGAAUCUUCCACAAUGGACGAAAGUCUGAUGGAGCAACGCCGCGUGAGUGAAGAAGGGUUUCGGCUCGUAAAACUCUGUUGUUAAAGAAGAACAUAUCUGAGAGUAACUGUUCAGGUAUUGACGGUAUUUAACCAGAAAGCCACGGCUAACUACGUGCCAGCAGCCGCGGUAAUACGUAGGUGGCAAGCGUUGUCCGGAUUUAUUGGGCGUAAAGCGAGCGCAGGCGGUUUUUUAAGUCUGAUGUGAAAGCCUUCGGCUCAACCGAAGAAGUGCAUCGGAAACUGGGAAACUUGAGUGCAGAAGAGGACAGUGGAACUCCAUGUGUAGCGGUGAAAUGCGUAGAUAUAUGGAAGAACACCAGUGGCGAAGGCGGCUGUCUGGUCUGUAACUGACGCUGAGGCUCGAAAGUAUGGGUAGCAAACAGGAUUAGAUACCCUGGUAGUCCAUACCGUAAACGAUGAAUGCUAAGUGUUGGAGGGUUUCCGCCCUUCAGUGCUGCAGCUAACGCAUUAAGCAUUCCGCCUGGGGAGUACGGCCGCAAGGCUGAAACUCAAAGGAAUUGACGGGGGCCCGCACAAGCGGUGGAGCAUGUGGUUUAAUUCGAAGCUACGCGAAGAACCUUACCAGGUCUUGACAUACUAUGCAAAUCUAAGAGAUUAGACGUUCCCUUCGGGGACAUGGAUACAGGUGGUGCAUGGUUGUCGUCAGCUCGUGUCGUGAGAUGUUGGGUUAAGUCCCGCAACGAGCGCAACCCUUAUUAUCAGUUGCCAGCAUUAAGUUGGGCACUCUGGUGAGACUGCCGGUGACAAACCGGAGGAAGGUGGGGAUGACGUCAAAUCAUCAUGCCCCUUAUGACCUGGGCUACACACGUGCUACAAUGGAUGGUACAACGAGUUGCGAACUCGCGAGAGUAAGCUAAUCUCUUAAAGCCAUUCUCAGUUCGGAUUGUAGGCUGCAACUCGCCUACAUGAAGUCGGAAUCGCUAGUAAUCGCGGAUCAGCAUGCCGCGGUGAAUACGUUCCCGGGCCUUGUACACACCGCCCGUCACACCAUGAGAGUUUGUAACACCCAAAGUCGGUGGGGUAACCUUUUAGGAACCAGCCGCCUAAGGUGGGACAGAUGAUUAGGGUG
RNAcentral lists this ribosomal RNA (1489 nucleotides) under Lactiplantibacillus pentosus. RNAcentral's name for it is "bacterial SSU rRNA". It matches the Rfam family "Bacterial small subunit ribosomal RNA". RNAcentral also lists the same sequence under 1 other name. The record is from RNAcentral. Lineage: Bacteria; Bacillati; Bacillota; Bacilli; Lactobacillales; Lactobacillaceae.